CAGUCGCCGCGGGAAUACAGAGGGUGCGAGCGUUAAUCGGAUUUACUGGGCGUAAAGCGUGCGUAGGCGGCUUCUUAAGUCGGAUGUGAAAUCCCUGAGCUUAACUUAGGAAUUGCAUUCGAUACUGGGAAGCUAGAGUAUGGGAGAGGAUGGUAGAAUUCCAGGUGUAGCGGUGAAAUGCGUAGAGAUCUGGAGGAAUACCGAUGGAGAAGGCAGCCAUCUGGCCUAAUACUGACGCUGAGGUACGAAAGCAUGGGGAGCAAACAGGAUUAGAUACCCCGGUAGUCCCUGUCUCUUAUAA
This 301-nucleotide ribosomal RNA is filed under the name uncultured bacterium. Its description in RNAcentral is "partial 16S ribosomal RNA". It matches the Rfam family "Bacterial small subunit ribosomal RNA", at positions 509 to 809 of the family's 1533-position model. The record is from RNAcentral.